RNAcentral lists this ribosomal RNA (567 nucleotides) under uncultured bacterium. RNAcentral's name for it is "bacterial SSU rRNA". It matches the Rfam family "Bacterial small subunit ribosomal RNA", at positions 35 to 635 of the family's 1533-position model. The record is from RNAcentral.
GCUGGCGGCGCGCUUACACAUGCAAGUCGAACGAGAAAGUGGAGCAAUCCAUGAGUACAGUGGCGUACGGGUGAGUAACACGUGGGUAAUCUACCUCUUGGUGGGGAAUAACCUGGGGAAACCCGGGCUAAUACCGCAUGAUCCUGGAAAGGCAAAGCAGCAAUGCGCCGAGAGAGGAGCCCGCGGCCGAUUAGCUAGUUGGUAGGGUAAUGGCCUACCAAGGCUAUGAUCGGUAGCCGGCCUGAGAGGGCACACGGCCACACUGGCACUGAAACACGGGCCAGACUCCUACGGGAGGCAGCAGUAGGGAAUCUUGCACAAUGGGGGAAACCCUGAUGCAGCGACGCCGCGUGAGCGAUGAAGCCCUUCGGGGUGUAAAGCUCUUUCGGCAGGAACGAUAAUGACGGUACCUGAAGAAGAAGCUGCGGCUAACUACGUGCCAGCAGCCGCGGUAAUACGUAGGCAGCAAGCGUUGUUCGGAGUUACUGGGCGUAAAGAGUGUGUANGCGGCUUUCUAAGUUCGGUGUGAAAUCUCCCGGCUCAACUGGGAGGGUGCGCCGGAAACUG